CAGUCGCCGCGGGAAUACGGAGGGUGCAAGCGUUAAUCGGAAUUACUGGGCGUAAAGCGCGCGUAGGUGGUUUGUUAAGUUGGAUGUGAAAUCCCCGGGCUCAACCUGGGAACUGCAUCCAAAACUGGCAAGCUAGAGUAUGGUAGAGGGUGGUGGAAUUUCCUGUGUAGCGGUGAAAUGCGUAGAUAUAGGAAGGAACACCAGUGGCGAAGGCGACCACCUGGACUGAUACUGACACUGAGGUGCGAAAGCGUGGGGAGCAAACAGGAUUAGAUACCCCAGUAGUCCCUGUCUCUUAUAA
This 301-nucleotide ribosomal RNA is filed under the name uncultured bacterium. Its description in RNAcentral is "partial 16S ribosomal RNA". It matches the Rfam family "Bacterial small subunit ribosomal RNA", at positions 509 to 809 of the family's 1533-position model. The record is from RNAcentral.